Ziziphus jujuba (common jujube) is the source of this 880-nucleotide long non-coding RNA. RefSeq lists it as uncharacterized. The transcript has 3 exons. The record is from RefSeq and is a predicted model, not a curated record. NCBI's taxonomy places the organism in Eukaryota, Viridiplantae, Streptophyta, Magnoliopsida, Rosales, Rhamnaceae.
AGCAGAGUCCUAGAUACAGAGAUCACCAAGAGUCCAUACUCUUUUUCACCACUACCGUCUCUCUCUUUCUAUCUUUGUGUCUCUGCGUUCUUUGACACUGACGACGUAAGCGAUUUCAGCUAUUUUCAGCGAAUUGAAGAAAUGUCAGAGGUCCAAAAGGGUUUUAUGGGUUUUAUUCUCCCAGCAUUGAGCAAUUUCGUUUCGAUGGCAUCAGCAACCACCUAGACCUCCACGCAAAGGGUUUCAAUUCCUAUGCUCCAUUUUCUUCCAUCAGAUAUGAGAGUUUUUAAUGGACUUUGCAAAACUAAGGUCAGGUCCUUCGGUCAAGGAAUUGCAGCAGGUACACUCAUAACUUGGCGCCUAUCAACAGUAAAUAUAUGUUUGUGCACUACAUUGACUAACUUAUUUCCAUGGCUAGUUUGGUACCGUGGUUCUUGACUUAUUUCAUGAGUUAUUUGUUUUAUAAAUAUUUUUUUUUCUUUUAUUUGUUUAUUUAUUUUUAAUAUAAGCUUCCCAUCUUUCUUUUCUGCAAAAGAUUCAGGAUAUUUCUCAAGAGUUAUUUUAUUUACAUAAGAUUCUUAACUUAAAAUUAUUAAUUGGGAUUCCAAAGCCAGCAAUGUCUUGUUAGAUGAGUGGAUUUCUGGUUUGCUUUGUAAGUUGGAAGAAAUUUCUCUAUUUGUAUAUGCUUCACCCAGAUUGUUUUCCAAGAAGAAAAAGACUCAUUACAAGUUGGAAGUAUUGGAGUUUCCAAAACUUGACAAAUCUUCCAAGUCAUGCAUGGAAACAUUGGAGGAAUGAAACAAGUUUGGACCUAAUGGACCUAAUAAAGGGGGGUCAAUGGCUAGACAUGAAGCAAAGUCAUUCGAGAAGAAAAAUAAUG